ACGAACGCUGGCGGCGUGCCUAAUACCUGCAAGUAGAACGCUGAAGGAGGAGCUUGCUCUUCUGGAUGAGUUGCGAACGGGUGAGUAACGCGUAGGUAACCUGCCUGGUAGCGGGGGAUAACUAUUGGAAACGAUAGCUAAUACCGCAUAACAGUAGAUGUUGCAUGACAUUUGCUUAAAAGGUGCAAUUGCAUCACUACCAGAUGGACCUGCGUUGUAUUAGCUAGUUGGUGGGGUAACGGCUCACCAAGGCGACGAUACAUAGCCGACCUGAGAGGGUGAUCGGCCAGACUGGGACUGAGACACGGCCCAGACUCCUGCGGGAGGCAGCCGUAGGGAAUCUUCGGCAAGGGACGGAAGUCUGACCGAGCAACGCCGCGUGAGUGAAGAAGGUUUUCGGGUCGUAAAGCUCUGUUGUAAGAGAAGAACGAGUGUGAGAGUGGAAAGUUCACACUGUGACGGUAUCUUACCAGAAAGGGACGGCUAACUACGUG
RNAcentral lists this ribosomal RNA (494 nucleotides) under uncultured bacterium. Its description in RNAcentral is "partial 16S ribosomal RNA". It matches the Rfam family "Bacterial small subunit ribosomal RNA", at positions 29 to 507 of the family's 1533-position model. The record is from RNAcentral.